Molecule: ribosomal RNA, 498 nt
Filed under: uncultured bacterium
Lineage: Bacteria
Description: partial 16S ribosomal RNA
Rfam family: Bacterial small subunit ribosomal RNA
Source: RNAcentral
AUUGAACGCUGGCGGCAUGCUUUACACAUGCAAGUCGAACAGUAACAGGCCGCAAGGUGCUGACGAGUGGCGAACGGGUGAGUAAUGCAUCGGAACGUGCCCAGUCGUGGGGGAUAACGCAGCGAAAGCUGUGCUAAUACCGCAUACGAUCUAUGGAUGAAAGCGGGGGACCGUAAGGCCUCGCGCGAUUGGAGCGGCCGAUGUCAGAUUAGGUAGUUGGUGGGGUAAAGGCUCACCAAGCCAACGAUCUGUAGCUGGUCUGAGAGGACGACCAGCCAAACUGGGGCUGAGACACGGCCCAGACUCCUACGGGAGGCAGCAGUGGGGAAUUUUGGACAAUGGGCGCAAGCCUGAUCCAGCAAUGCCGCGUGCAGGAAGAAGGCCUUCGGGUUGUAAACUGCUUUUGUACGGAACGAAAAGGUUUGGGUUAAUACCCUGGGCCGAUGACGGUACCGUAAGAAUAAGCACCGGCUAACUACGUGCCAGCCGCCGCCGUAA